This 449-nucleotide ribosomal RNA is filed under the name uncultured bacterium. RNAcentral describes it as "partial 16S ribosomal RNA". It matches the Rfam family "Bacterial small subunit ribosomal RNA", at positions 29 to 523 of the family's 1533-position model. The record is from RNAcentral.
AGCGAACGCUGGCGGCAGGCUUAACACAUGCAAGUCGAACGGGCACUUCGGUGUCAGUGGCAGACGGGUGAGUAACACGUGGGAACGUACCUUUUGGUUCGGAACAACUGAGGGAAACUUCAGCUAAUACCGGAUAAGCCCUUUCGGGGAAAGAUUUAUCGCCGAAAGAUCGGCCCGCGUCUGAUUAGCUAGUUGGUAGGGUAAUGGCCUACCAAGGCGACGAUCAGUAGCUGGUCUGAGAGGAUGAUCAGCCACAUUGGGACUGAGACACGGCCCAAACUCCUACGGGAGGCAGCAGUGGGGAAUAUUGGACAAUGGGGGCAACCCUGAUCCAGCCAUGCCGCGUGAGUGAUGAAGGCCUUAGGGUUGUAAAGCUCUUUUAUCCGGGACGAUAAUGACGGUACCGGAGGAAUAAGCCCCGGCUAACUUCGUGCCAGCAGCCGCAGUAA